This 253-nucleotide ribosomal RNA is filed under the name uncultured bacterium. Its description in RNAcentral is "partial 16S ribosomal RNA". It matches the Rfam family "Bacterial small subunit ribosomal RNA", at positions 524 to 776 of the family's 1533-position model. The record is from RNAcentral.
GACGAACCGUGCGAACGUUGUUCGGAAUCACUGGGCGUAAAGGGCGCGUAGGCGGGGAGGUAAGUCGGGUGUGAAAUCCCUCGGCCCAACCGAGGAACUGCGCCCGAGACUGCUUCUCUUGAGUCCCGGAGAGGAAGAUGGAAUUCCCGGUGUAGCGGUGAAAUGCGUAGAUAUCGUAAGGAAGACCAGUGGCGAAGGCGGGUCUCUGGACAGUUCCUGACGCUGAGGCACGAAGGCCAGGGGAGCAAACGGG